Molecule: long non-coding RNA, 925 nt
Filed under: Setaria viridis
Lineage: Eukaryota; Viridiplantae; Streptophyta; Magnoliopsida; Poales; Poaceae
Description: long non-coding RNA (SVIR_LNC009835)
Source: RNAcentral
AAAGAGAGUAAUAAGGAUUACAUAGAGAGAGAGAGAGAGAGGGGAUGGAGAUGGAGUUGGCUAGAGGAUCAAAGAGAGAAGCACAGAACAACUACAGGGCCAAAUUAAGUCAAUUCAAACUUUUUACGCGCAAUUAAAGCUCAUAUCACUAUACUAACUAGCGUUAUCGCUUGCUCGGACUGAACUAGCGCUUUGACUGAGCAAAAUUCUACUAGUCAGUCAGCGGUGAAUAGACCAGUUUGGCCUUGAUUCUUGUUCAAGCCAACCAGUUUGUCUUUGAGUGAGGCCGACUAGAAAUGUCUAUAAGUGAUAGCCAUCCAAUUUGUUUACAAGUUGAAUGGGCUAUUUAAUAACAAUGACCUUUCUUAAAAUGAUUUCAACAAGUGCGACAAAAUGUUUUUUUUAUGGACAGAUUUGUUACAGCAAGAUCUUCCACUAGGAGAGAAGUUACAGUCAAAUUGUUCAUACAUGUAGCCGCCAUUAAUGAGCCUGAACUAUCGUAGUCACAGAUCACACUGGUGGUCAUCUUUGCUCCAAAGUUCCAUGGUCCUUGUUUCUUUUUGUUGGCAAAGCAUCCCGUGUAGCUUCCUGGAAAAAAGUUUGACUUUCUUAUAGAGGAGGGCAAUGAGGUUAUGGACUUUUGGACUCAUCUCACUUUGUGGUAAAAGACAAUAGGAGUCACAAUGUCAAAAAUUUUCUCUCUAGCUGGAGCGCAAGCUAAUAGGUGGUUUUAAGCUACAUGUUGAUUUUGAGAUUUUGUAUUGCUAAGACUAUUCUAAGUCCCAUUCUUUUUCUUUCUUUUGUUUUGUAAGGUUGCUUGUCACAAAGGCCAGAACUUUGUAAUUUAAUAAAGCUUCCAUGAUCUAAAAAUAUCAUUCAUAUAUAUUACUCCCUCCAACAACAAAAUUGACGUACUAGUUUUAAU